CCUACGGGAGGCAGCAGUGGGGAAUUGUUCGCAAUGGGCGAAAGCCUGACGACGCAACGCCGCGUGGAGGAUGAAGGUCUUCGGAUUGUAAACUCCUGUUGCUCGGGACGAAUAGCUUCAACCUAAUACGUUGAGGUCUGACGGUACCGAGUGAGGAAGCCCCGGCUAACUCUGUGCCAGCAGCCGCGGUAAUACAGAGGGGGCAAGCGUUGUUCGGAAUUACUGGGCGUAAAGGGCGCGUAGGCGGCCCGCUAAGUCGAACGUGAAAUCCCCGGGCUCAACCCGGGAACUGCGUCCGAUACUGGUGGGCUUGAAUCCGGGAGAGGGAUGUGGAAUUCCAGGUGUAGCGGUGAAAUGCGUAGAUAUCUGGAGGAACACCGGUGGCGAAGGCGGCAUCCUGGACCGGCAUUGACGCUGAGGCGCGAAAGCCAGGGGAGCAAACGGGAUUAGAUACCCCGGUAGUCCUGGCCCUAAACGAUGAAUGCUUGGUGUGGCGGGUAUCGAUCCCUGCCGUGCCGAAGCUAACGCAUUAAGCAUUCCGCCUGGGGAGUACGGUCGCGAGNNGAACACAANAGAGUUAGACGGCGUGAGACGUGCCGACGGACGACGACGAGGGAGGUUAGG
This 624-nucleotide ribosomal RNA is filed under the name uncultured bacterium. RNAcentral describes it as "bacterial SSU rRNA". It matches the Rfam family "Bacterial small subunit ribosomal RNA", at positions 338 to 961 of the family's 1533-position model. The record is from RNAcentral.